Ribosomal RNA from Oncorhynchus mykiss (rainbow trout), 119 nucleotides. Lineage: Eukaryota; Metazoa; Chordata; Actinopteri; Salmoniformes; Salmonidae. The record is from Ensembl.
UCUUACGGCCACACCGGCCUGAGUACACCUGAUCUCGUCCGAUCUCGGAAGCUAAGCAGGGUCGGGCCUGGUUAGUACUCGGAUGGGAGACCGCCUGGGAAUACCAGGUGCUGUAAGCU